GUACUGUUGAGGAGUCCCACAAUAAGACGAAACAGUUGUCCAAUAC
RNAcentral lists this non-coding RNA (46 nucleotides) under Schistosoma margrebowiei. Lineage: Eukaryota; Metazoa; Platyhelminthes; Trematoda; Strigeidida; Schistosomatidae. The record is from RNAcentral.